This is a non-coding RNA of Mycena latifolia, 90 nucleotides long. The record is from the annotation of a GenBank genome assembly. NCBI's taxonomy places the organism in Eukaryota, Fungi, Basidiomycota, Agaricomycetes, Agaricales, Mycenaceae.
AGCUUGGUGGCAUAAUGGUAAUGUGCUCUGUAUUCCUAUGUACAAGGUAUGGUUCACGGAAGGUUCGGAGUUCAAUUCUCCAUCGAGCCA